GAGACAGACAAGUAAACAAAACAAAGUAAUUUCAGAGAGAGAAAUUUCUCAAGACAAGUAAAGAAAGUGUGAUGAGAAACUGGGCAAACAGCUUCUCUUGAGAGUAGACUUAAUGUGAAGAUAAAUAAGAGCAACCCAUCCUGGAAAUGGCUGGGGGAAGGCCUGGUGUUUGAGGAAUAAAAGAAGGCUGGUUGGUCCCAGGCACAGCUAAGAUAGUAGGGAGGGUAAGUGCAAAAUGAGGCCCAUUUCCAUUUAUUCAAUAUAACAUUCUCUUUGCUUCAUAUUAGACCCUAUUUUUGACCUGAUGUUACAUCCAGAGAUCUAGUUCACAGUGAUAAUGCAUUUUACAUGACAAAUGCUGUCAUUUAGGAUGUGCUAAGCCCUGGGACCUCUAAGGAUGGAAGCUGGGGUAGUGUACUUUUUUCCAGGGAAGUAAUAUUUGAGCUGAGUUUUGAAGGAAUGGUGAAAAAGGGUAGGACAUUCCUGGCAUCCAGGACUGCGUGGGCAAAGGGUAAAAGUACAGAGUUUGCUGAGAACUAGAUAGGGAAGAUAGUAGUGGAGGGACUGGUCAAUGAUUUUCACACUGUAGGCCAGGACUCAGCACAUCAUGGAUAAAUCAAACAUCAUUUAAAGAAGAAAAAUAGCAUAGACUAGAAAGUAUCAAAACAAUCCUACCUAAAAUUUAGUGUUUUAUGAGGAUAUGCAUUUUUGUACUUGUAAAAUGUAUUUCUUACUAUGAAUUGAGUAAAAAAAGUUUUGAUAUCAUUGUGAUAGGUACUAGGAGAAGUUUAAACAAAGAAAACAUAAUGACAUGAGAUCAAAAAGAUUAGAAUUUACCUUCUGGCAAGCCGUGGAUGGUAUUGAGCUGACAGGCUGUCAUUUGUGUUAAGGAAAAUGACAGGCAGCAGUGUGGAAGAUAGAUUGGAAAAUAAACACUGAAGACUGCAUAACUGAUUCGAAGGCUGUUGCCAUGGUCCAAGUGGAGAGUGAUCCUACCUUUCUCAGACUGAUCCAGGUGUCUCACCUCAGUGCUCUCAAAGAACUCACUAGUCCCCCUAUCUUAACACUUAGGACACAGGCUGAAAUCAGUUGUGUAAUUGUCUGUACCCCUCACUAGUCUGUAUGACCCAUGACAGCAGGGAUGGCAUCAGUUUUUUAGUUCCCUUCUUUGAUGACAUCAUUGCAUUUAGAAUGCGAUUCACAAUUUGUAACAAGAACUACAAAGCUCUGACCAUCUCUCUACUUGCAUUUUCCACCACACUCACCCCAUAUUUUCCUUGCUAUAGAUACAGAGAACUGAAGUUCUAAAUUGUUCUCUCAGUUUCUUUGCCCAGAAUGCUCACUGUGCUGAGAACCUCCACUUCUAUCACACACCUUCUGAACUCCCUUUCUUCCUUCAGAUUUUACUUAAAUGUCUUCUCCACCCCCCAGAUAGGUCCAAAUCAAAUCCAAACACUCUUCUGGCAUUUUUCUUGUUAAUAAGUCCAUUUUUCUUUGCUUUUCUUCUCUUUUGAUUUUUUUUUUUCAUUUACUUAUCCUACAAGGUCUUUGUCUUUACUAAACCAGUGCCCACACAUAACAGGUAUGCAAUGGACAUUUGUUGAAUAAACAAACUUCUUUUUUUUGGGCGGGGUGCUACUGGGGAUUGAACUCAGGGGCACUCAACCACAGAGCCACAUCCCCAGCCCUAUUUUGUAUUUGAUUUAGAGACAGGGUCUCACUGAGUUGCUUAGUGCCUCACUGUUGCUGAGGCUGGCUUUGAACUCCCAAUCCUCCUGCCUCAGCCUCCCACCCAUGAGAUUACAGGUGUAUGCCACCACGCCCAGUAUAAACAAACUUCUGAAUGGAUAAUAAAUCCAUCUGAGGCCAAGAAAAUGGGAGGAGAUGGUGAGUAACAGAUUUGGUUGCAGAUCAAACGAGGGGCCUUCAUGUCACUAGGCUACAAGUAUAGGCACGACACUCAGGAAUGAUUCUACUUCUUUGUCUGGUGUGUGUACCCAUUUCUUCCUUAAAACCCCCUUCUUGGGGCUGGG
Molecule: long non-coding RNA, 2033 nt
Filed under: Marmota monax (woodchuck)
Lineage: Eukaryota; Metazoa; Chordata; Mammalia; Rodentia; Sciuridae
Source: RNAcentral